RNAcentral lists this long non-coding RNA (933 nucleotides) under Marmota monax (woodchuck). Lineage: Eukaryota; Metazoa; Chordata; Mammalia; Rodentia; Sciuridae. The record is from RNAcentral.
GCCACAUGUAGCUACUAUGUUGAACAGCACAUAUGUGGAACAUUUACACUGUUACAGAAAUUAAGAAAUGCCAACCUUCUGUGUUAAAGAUGACUAGUAUUUAUUAGCUUCCAUUUUUGAUUCUUAAAGGGACACAGGGCAGUUUUUUUUUUUUUUUUUUUUUGUACCUGAUUGAACUCAGGGGCACUUGACCACUGAGCAACAUCCCCAGCCCUAUUUUGUAUUUUAUUUAGAGACGGGGUCUCACUGAGUUGCUUAGUACCUUGCUUUUGCUGAGACUGGCUUUGAACUUGUGAUCCUCCUGCUUCAGCCUCCGGAGAUGCUGGGAUUACAGCAUAGGGCAGUUUUUACCAAACUCUUUUUUGCCAUAUAUGAGUAGUGAGUUAUGGAGGAUAAGUUAUAACUUCCUUCAAUUAUAAGGUAAGUUGGGGGGGCCAGCCGACAGUAUUGCUAAUGGUGGUGCCCCCAACAUAAGUUUGUUUUCUGUACUUUUUUGAAAAAGAAUAACAAAAAUACCCAAACUUAAGGUUUAUACAAGUUUCCAAAUAAGCCAUACAGAAGGGUCACAAGCUAAUUUUGAAGGAGGGAAUCUGUACUUGUCAGUGAAGUCACAAUGUUGUUAGGACUGUGAUGGAUCUCCCCAGUGGUGGGGGUUGAACCCAGGGCCUUGAGAAUGCAGGCAAGUGCUUUACCACUGAGCUAAACCUCUAGCCUUGUGAUGUUUGUUUAGUGUUUCCAUUUGGUUCAGUCAAGUUUGUUCAUCCAUAGUGUCCAAAUAAAGUUAGACUUUAGCUGGGUGUCAUGGCACUCAGUGGUAGAAUGCCCCUGGAUUCAACCCCCAAUAUUGGAAACAACAACAACAACAACAAAUAAAACAAAAACAAAAAAACUUAAAGUUAGACUUGGCUAGAGUGUAUAAUCUGAAGAACUGGU